Long non-coding RNA from Mesocricetus auratus (golden hamster), 4512 nucleotides. RefSeq lists it as uncharacterized. The transcript has 2 exons. The record is from RefSeq and is a predicted model, not a curated record. NCBI's taxonomy places the organism in Eukaryota, Metazoa, Chordata, Mammalia, Rodentia, Cricetidae.
CCACCCCCUCGACCCCCUGCGGCCCGGCCCUCCCCUCGCGCUCUUUUCCCCCUCCCGCCAGGCGCCGCAGCCACUUCCGCCCGUCCUCCGGAAGUAGGUCCCGGGCACCCGCUGGCUCCUCACGUCCCGCCCAUUCGCCUGGCCCUUGCCCGCCCAUCACCACCACCACCACCACCACGGGAGCACGGGAGAUCCACAAUAUCCAUACUAAUGUCCAGAGAAGAGUUGGAAAAGUGGAAAAGUGAGCAUCCCUCAGUACAAAGAAGACUGGAGCAGUCAUGGAAGAAACAUGGGUUCUGGUGAUUCGCUGUGUGGAAAUCUUCCCUUGAAGAGGUUAUGGAAUCAAAGCUAUGAAAGAGGAGUAGAAAAGAGAGUUAUAAAAUGCUGAAGAUUUGCCGGGUGGUGGUGGUGCACGCCUUUAAUACCAGCACUCGGGAGGCAGAGGUAGGCGGAUCUCUGUGAGUUCAAGGCCUGGCUGGACCGACAGCCUCCAAAACAAUACAGAGAAACCCUGUCUCUUAAAAUAAAAAAAAAAAAUGCUGAAGAUUUAACUUGGCAAGUUAUGAGAAAAGAAACUGGAUAUCUAGGAAGAGAUGGAACUUAAAAUAUGAGUGAUUUUUACUGCUUAAAAAAAAAAGCUACAGAAUAGAAUGCAGCCAGCAAAUUGAUUGUGCAUGGAGAAAUCUGAACCAAGAGGGCCAAAUUUGUAGAAUAAUAAAAGUAGAAAAUAGAUGUUCCAUGAACAAAACAACAUACAUCAUCCCAUUAAAAAGUAAGGAAAUUUGGGGAGCAGGAAUCUAUCUUGCACAGGAGGAGCUAUGGCAAAGAGAUAAGAGCACACUCUAGUCCCUGCAGUCCUGAGUGCAAAUGCUGCCGUACUACACUCUGUGUGCCCAGGUUUCCCCACUUGCCAAAUAGGAAAGUAGCCAGUGCAUAAUUGUAUGAAAAUGAGAAACACUGCAGGAAUGAUGCUGUGCUACACAAAAUAAAAGCUCUAGUUAGCCAUUUAUUUGAAAGGAGGAAGUUUUAGGAUAACCUUAAAUUCUAGGGUUCCACAUAUGAACAAACGGUUAAUGCAGGGCAUUUAUUGUUUUGUUUUUUGAGACAAGGUUUCUUCUGUGUGACAGUUCUAGCUGUCCUGGAACUCACUUUGCAAACUGAAUUUACUAUCUACUUUCCUUUCUGAAUCAUUCUUAGACUUUCAUAUAUUUAAAUCUUGUCUUCCAGUAUGGAUUGUAGAUGUAAGAACUUAUGUUUUAGUCUUGAGUAAAUUUUUUUUAAUAAAGAAUUUUAAAUUGAUCUGAUAGCAACAGUUUCUAUAUCGGCAGCUAACAGUGUUCAGGUUUUUGUGCUUUGUUUUCAAUGCCUCUUUGAAAGAUCCAGGUUUCCUUACUAGGAGGUCUCUUUAAGUUAACAAAAGAAACCAUUUAGGAAAGAGUAGUUUAGGCCACUCUUUAUUAACUUUCUUCUGCUGAGUAAAGAGAAGGUAAAGAGUGCCCGGUGUCCUCUGGUGGGUCUUGCAUUAAGCCAGAGACUGGAAGAUAGGAGUCUGAUCUUCACCUCAACACAUGCUCAUCGUGAAGUACAAAUUUCAGUUUCUCUGCUAUAAAACGAAAAUCGUAAGAAAGGAGCAACCUUACACUACUGUUGAGAACAUUAUAUAAAAUGCAUGUGCAAAGUAGCCUAGGUAUGAUUCUGGCUAUAAUCUCUCUCUUUUUUUUUUUUUUUUUUUUAACGAGCAGGGUUUCUCUGUAUUGUUUUGGAGACUGUCAGUCCAGCCCGGCGUUGAACUCACAGAUACCCGCCUGCCUCUGCCUCCCAAGUGCUGGGAUUAAAGGCAUGCGCCACCACCGCCCGGCUUAUAAUCUCUUUUUUGCAUGAGAUAAAUCAUGUAUAUAUUUGGACAUCAGCCUGUAGGGUGACAGAAGCUUCAUAAGGUCUGGAGGUAUUUCCAGGUUCCCUAAUAUCAUGGUGCAUCAUUUUAAAUACACUGCUUGUUGGAGCUGCAUUUCUAGGACCCAGAUCCAUCUCAUAAUGCUAAGCCAAGGCAAAAAAAAAAAAAAGUGUGAUUUCAGGGUACUCCUAACUGCAGAGUUUCCUGUGGCAACUCAAGGUGAGAUCUAGUUUUAGUAGGAAGUCAAUCUUACUGAUGAUUCCAUCUUCCAGUCUGCUGCACUGGAUGUUGAGGAUGACUAUCCAUCUUCUAAAAUCCUGCUAGUUGGUUUCAUGACAUAAAUAUCUCCUGGUUUCCCCCCACUACUUCAAAAACAUUUUUAUCUUGGUAAGUACACAUAAAUUUUUACCAUCUUAGCCUUUUUAAAAGCAGUUAAAUAGCCCAAGUGUAUUCAUAUUUCUAUGUAACUAAUCUCCAGAACUCAUUUCAUCCUCCAAAACUAAAAUUCUGUGCCCACUAAGCAGUAACUCCCUGAAACACAAAAAACAAAAGACCCAGAGAUGGAUAUUGGGGUUCAAGCUGAAGAUCAGAGAAGCAAAGGAGCCAAGCCAGUAGAUAUUACAUCUACUAAGCUGAAAUGGCAGUCCUGUCUCCACCAGUCCUCAAAGGCAAAAGCUCUCAGUUCUUAUCUCUUACUGCCUUUUAUUCCUUUCCCCCAGCCAGCCAUAGCACUCCUGUCUCCACCUCCCUAGUGCUGGGAUCAAAGGCAUGCGAUUCCAGGUGCUGAGAUCACCUUUGUGUGAGCUGUUUCUUUUAGAACUGGAACAAUUUCGGGUAGUCAGUGUGACUUUGAACAGAGAUCCUGAGUCCUGGCAUUUAAGGUGUGUACCACCAUCGCCUAGCUCUGUGGCUGCUGGGAUUAUCACCACUGCCUGACCUCUAUAGCUCAAGACUGACUUUACUUUCUGAAUCCUCAGGAAGGCUUUAAUUACAUCAGAAACAAUAUAUCACCAUAACUCCCCAUUUCCCUUUACUGGUAGACCCUGCCUUUCACUUUAUGUCCAUGGAAAUGACUGCUCUGUGCACCUCAUUUUAGUGAGGUUAUGUGUUCAUGACUCCAUUACCACAUGUAUGUUGAAAACCUCACAUCUUUAUCUCCUGCCCAGAUGUGUCUACUGAAAUCCAAACUCCCUGGAAGGCCUUCUGGCUACUGUUUCCAGUGCACCUCUCUAAAAUAGAAACUCUCUACCAAAAUCUCCUUUGUCCUUGUGUUCCAUAUCCAGAAGAGUGUCACUGCCCUUUAACCUGCUACAGAGACUAUUGCUUUUCUGCUUCCCUAGUAUCAUUUUUCUGUGUAUUUUAUAAUUUUACCAUUUCUUCCUAAGGGACUACUUUCUUCACCCUCAUUCCUAGUUCUUUAAGCAGCCUUAUUACUUAGACUUGUGUAAUGUAAGCAAUCCAUAAUUCUCAACCUUUCGGAAAAUCCUGAUGGGCUUUGCAUACAUGAAUUGCUAAUUCACUGGAUUGCUAUAACUGUUAUGACUGCCCUUCUAGCCCAUCCCUAUUCCUUUGUAACACCUGAUGGUCUGCAGAACCACUCUACCAGGGAUUCCCAUUGGCCACAGUGACUCAGGUAGGUGACCUUCAUUAUCCUUUCUGCUUCCCCUCCUCUCACUCCUCCUCCCUUCUCUGGAGACUCUGACUCUUGGUGAAUAUCCCGAGUGGCCCUAGUUGUUUCCCACUGUGCCUUUCAGCCUUCCCUUGUAGCCUACUUCCAUUCAUUUGUGAUACCUGCUGACCCACAGAAACACUACCAGGGAGCCCACAGCCACCACACUUAGUUAGGAUCCAUAGUGGGCAACAGUAACAGAACACCCACCUGGCAAAGAUGAGAUAUUUAUGCAAAAAAACACUUCAGACAUCUCACUCCAGAUGCCUAGAUCCCAGCGUAAAAAUAAAUAACAAUGCACAGCCAAGACAGUAUGCCUCCAGAAGGUUGCAACCUUACUGUAGUAGGCCCUGAGGAGAGCAGUUUAGCUGAAGCACAGGACUUCAAAAUAGUUAGGAAUAAGUUUGUGGACCAUAAGGAGGAUACGAUGAAUGUUUUCAGUGAAGGCUAUGGCACAAAGAAUUGAAUGAAAUGAUGAAAAAAGUUCAAGACAGGAAAGUAGAACUUAAGAGAGAAAUAAAAUCACUAAAGAAAAUCCACACUGAAGUUAAAAUAAAAAACUCACGGAGUCAAAAACUGUAGAGGUAUGCUUCAACAAGUUAAGACAUGGAAGAGAAUUUCAGUUCUUGGAAAGUUAGAGGAAAUGGAAGCUCAGUUAAAAUGUUAAUUCUAAAAGCCCAUGAGAUGUUAGAAGACUUGGAAAGUCAGUUAAAGAAAAUAUUAAAAGUAAGUCCAGGUACAAAACAACUGAUUAAGAGAUGAGACAACCAAGUUACAGAUAAUUUCUACAACUUCAUCAGUGCUCCACAGCUAGGACUUACUUGGACUGCUUCAAGACCCUCAUUGUGGGGUGGGAGAGGGAGCUGGGAUUGACAUGUGAAGCAUUUGUGCUUCUAAUUUAAAUAAAAACAUAUAUUGAGGGAAAAAAGGCCCUCAUUGUGACUAUUAA